RNAcentral lists this ribosomal RNA (520 nucleotides) under uncultured Entrophospora. Its description in RNAcentral is "SSU rRNA". It matches the Rfam family "Eukaryotic small subunit ribosomal RNA", at positions 569 to 1085 of the family's 1831-position model. Lineage: Eukaryota; Fungi; Glomeromycota; Glomeromycetes; Entrophosporales; Entrophosporaceae. The record is from RNAcentral.
AGCAGCCGCGGUAAUUCCAGCUCCAAUAGCGUAUAUUAAAGUUGUUGCAGUUAAAAAGCUCGUAGUUGAAUUUCGGGAUUGACGUGAUGGUCAUGCCUUAAGGGGUAUGAACUGUUACUGUUGAUUUCUCACCUUCUGGAGAAACUUGAUGUCCUUUAUUGGGUGUCUUGCGGAUCCAGGACCUUUACCUUGAAAAAUUAGAGUGUUUAAAGCAGGCAUUUUUGCUCGAAUACAUUAGCAUGGAAUAAUAGAAUAGGACGGCAUGGUUCUAUUUUGUUGGUUUCUAGGAUCACCGUAAUGAUUAAUAGGGAUAGUUGGGGGCAUUAGUAUUCAAUUGUCAGAGGUGAAAUUCUUGGAUUUAUUGAAGACUAACUACUGCGAAAGCAUUUGCCAAGGAUGUUUUCAUUAAUCAAGAACGAAAGUUAGGGGAUCGAAGACGAUCAGAUACCGUCGUAGUCUUAACCAUAAACUAUGCCGACUAGGAAUCAGACGAUGUUAAUUUUUAAUGACUCGUUUGGCU